Molecule: non-coding RNA, 1823 nt
Organism: Meleagris gallopavo (turkey)
Lineage: Eukaryota; Metazoa; Chordata; Aves; Galliformes; Phasianidae
Source: RefSeq, a predicted model, not a curated record
UCUAAGUCUCUAUUCCCACUCUUAUUUUAGGUCUCAGCUAUAUUAUUAGCCCAGUGCUGCCUAUUCAGAUUUAUAUUUUGUACGAAAGACAGAAGGAUUUGAAUAGAAGUGAGCGGUCUUUCACUUAUGGCAACAAAGGAAGACACUGAGAGACUUCGGUGCAUGUUUUUAAUGGACCGUCUCCCAUAUAUCUGGAUAUCUGUAAACUGUCUGUUUGAGACUUGGAGAAAAGAAGGACCAACUGUUUGUUAGUGGAGGUGAUCUGCCCUGCAAAUAAAAGGCAAAAUGAGAUGAACUGGGCACCUGUGCAAACCAGAGCAGUGAUUGCAGCAGGGCGCAUGUAUACCUGGCACUGUACUGCACGGAUGUCAGGCUUAAAAUACAAACACCGAGGUCCUAAUUAAAACGUGCGUGUUGUUUGGCAACCAUAGCUUUUGAAAUCAAAGAUUCACAGGAUCAGGCUUUUCUCUCAGAUCUCGUCUCCUCUGCAUUCCAAGUGAACUGACUGAUUCCUUUUGGAUGAGAUUUGGGCAUUGAUUGAAAGUGCAGAAGAAGAGUAAUAUCACCUCGGGUUUACUUCUGAGGAAUGCAAUAAAUAGAUAAUACUCCAUGCCUUAUGACUCCAACCCCAAUGACUCCAACCAAAAAUUGAUGUACGAAUCUACGAAGAACAGCCUGGAAAAGAAUAGCGCAGGGAACACAGGCCCAUCCAGAAGGCUGUAAUGCCUUGCUUUUUCCAUCCUUGCUGCUGAUGCUGGUAAUACCAUCAGUGUGAAUUUCAGAUCAGCAGAUAUAAUUAAUGAUGGACUAAAAAUCAGCAUCUACAUAUCAAGACCCAGGAGCAAUAUGUUAGCAUCCAGUUUGCACCAAGUGAUGUUGAAAUAAUGCCUAAGAUGAACCCCGUCAAGUUUAAGAUCUUCAAGGAGACCAUGUUCUUCAAAUAUGCGAUGGGUGAUCCAUAAGGUUGUUGAUUUUACGUGCAGUAUGUAGAGAGAUACAAAACACAAAAACUGUAUUUCAAAUCAUAAAAAUCUCAAUAUGUAUACAAGCGUCUUUGUAUUGCUAUAUGCUAGAGUGUAGGCUUCAGCCUUCAUUUGCAUUUCAGAAUGAAAAUAGACACAAAGAAACCUGAUAUCACAACUCUCUCGUUUGCUUGCUAGUUUUUUGUUGUUUUUUUCCUUCAGUUCUUUUUCUCCCUCCCAGUCUUUCUUUGUUUUUAAAAGCAGGCAUUUAUAUUUAUAGACCUGCCGCAGGUUUUCUCCUUUAAAAAAAAUUGCCUCCACUAAAGCUAACACCAAUAAUAGUCGCAAGGGAAUCCAAACAGUAGAGUAACUGUGCAGAAAUACAGGGGGAUAUUUAAACCAAGCAAUCCUUGAAUGCCAUUUUGGUACUUUCUAUAAUCUGUUUGCAUUUCUGAGAUCUUAUUUCCUUUAAGAGGAUGUUGAGGAUUUCUGCAAGUUUAAAAUAAAUCAUAACUUAAGAAGAAAGUAACAAACUGUAACUGUGUUUCCUUUUAAUUAAGCUCUGCAGCUUCUCAUCUGAUGUGCAAUUUCUUGACAAUAAUAAGAGAGAGUUCGUUGCCAAGCACUUGGAAUGAUUGUUUAUUCCUUUCCUUCACUCAUCAUGUAGGCACAUGUAGAGGAAAGAUAUGGUUGGACUAAGGUGGAUGCUAUGAAAAACGUGUUUGUUCACUUGGAAAUUGGAAUUUAUUUAUAAACCCCACAGAUGGAUCCUGAUUCAAUUUCAAAAGCUUUUGUGAAUAAUUAAACAAAUGUGUUUGAUGGUAAAUUAAAGAAUAAAUUUCAGAAGCGAAUUUCUGUUUA